UUGUUAACAAUUAGUUAAGAUGCCUUAGGGCUUAAUAGGGAAUCUGGAGCAUUACCAGAACUGUCCCCGCAACUGUAAGUGUGGACGAAAUAGACAAACCACUGAAACGUUUAUAUGGACGUUACGGGAAGGGUCUAAAGUAGGAAGAUACACAAGUCAGGAGACCUGUCUUAGCUUUUAAAGUUUC
This 187-nucleotide non-coding RNA is filed under the name Bacillus sp. (in: firmicutes). Lineage: Bacteria; Bacillati; Bacillota; Bacilli; Caryophanales; Bacillaceae. The record is from RNAcentral.